Molecule: long non-coding RNA, 963 nt
Organism: Acinonyx jubatus (cheetah)
Lineage: Eukaryota; Metazoa; Chordata; Mammalia; Carnivora; Felidae
Exons: 3
Source: RefSeq, a predicted model, not a curated record
AAUGGUCACACAUUAGCAACUUUUAGAAAACGUAUAAGGGACUAAUUCUAGACACAAACCAGCUGAUACUCAUACAGAAUUAAAAAAAAAAAACAAGAGAAAAAUAGAAAUGAAUUGUAUUGGUUCUCAGUGCUUUGUUCUGACACAAAGAUAACACACUUUAGUUUUUCAGGAUCAAGGUUAUAUGCAUCAGUCUAUGGAUUGGUAUAUGGAAACAUGAUUCCUGCAAAAUGUGUUAUGUGAGAUGAGAAUUUCAACUUAAGCAAGCACUGCACAUCAAUAUCACUGAAAAAAGUAUGCUAGCAGGUAAUGCCAGGAGGUACUCUAACCAAGAAAGCCUGGUGAAGUUAUCUCCUCAGAAGAUAAACUGGAUAAUCAGCACCAGCUGGGGCAGAAAAGAAGGGAAGCCGGUGAAAUGAACAUGUCCACUCUGUGUCACAGCAAUGACAGAACUUCAGCUGAUUGUUGUCUGUGAUAAAGGAGACAAAGUAUGGCCAGCUUGGGUUUUGCAGAAGUCACUGGAAAGCCACAGCUUUCUAUGAAACUUCCCGAUUCUUAAAAGUCUCCAAAACAAGUUGUUCCACAACUGUUUCCUUGGCAUACUCUGGGCCAGGGAGUGCUAGAGGUAAAGUGAAGAACAAAGGAGACAAAAACAAAAGCUUGUGCCCUGGCUCAUGCUUACCCUCGUGGAGCUUAGAUUCCACUGAAAGAUACAGACAAUAUAACAAAUAAGUGAAUGAUAUUUUGGAAAGUGGUAAGUACUAUGAAGAGAAAUCCAGCAGAGGUGAGUGAGAACAUGUGCUGGGAUUAGGGAACAUACUCCCCAGUACUCCCAGGCUGCACGAUCUAGUGGGGGCUGCCUCCUAGUUAUUUGACAAGUCCAAGGGUAUAAGUUAAAUUUCCAUAAAUCUAUCCCAUUAUUCAUUCUUUCUAGAAUUUGAAAGCCAAUAUCAAUUUUUCUCA